CCUGGCGGCACUAGCGCGGUGGUCCCACCUGACCCCAUGCCGAACUCAGAAGUGAAACGCCGUAGCGCCGAUGGUAGUGUGGGGUCUCCCCAUGCGAGAGUA
RNAcentral lists this ribosomal RNA (102 nucleotides) under Salmonella enterica. The record is from RNAcentral. RNAcentral also lists the same sequence under 11 other names. Lineage: Bacteria; Pseudomonadati; Pseudomonadota; Gammaproteobacteria; Enterobacterales; Enterobacteriaceae.